This 253-nucleotide ribosomal RNA is filed under the name uncultured bacterium. RNAcentral describes it as "partial 16S ribosomal RNA". It matches the Rfam family "Bacterial small subunit ribosomal RNA", at positions 524 to 776 of the family's 1533-position model. The record is from RNAcentral.
UACGGAGGGUGCAAGCGUUGUUCGGAUUCACUGGGUGUAAAGGGCGCGUAGGCGGAUAAACAAGUCGGAUGUGAAAUCCCGGGGCUCAACCCCGGAACUGCAUCCGAAACUGUUUAUCUGGAGUAGUGGAGAGGAAAGCGGAACUCCUGGUGUAACGGUGAAAUGUGUAGAUAUCAGGAGGAACGCCGAUAGCGAAGGCAGCUUUCUGGACACUUACUGACGCUGAGGCGCGAAAGCGUGGGGAGCAAACAGG